This 465-nucleotide ribosomal RNA is filed under the name uncultured Desulfobulbus sp. Its description in RNAcentral is "bacterial SSU rRNA". It matches the Rfam family "Bacterial small subunit ribosomal RNA", at positions 923 to 1382 of the family's 1533-position model. The record is from RNAcentral. Lineage: Bacteria; Pseudomonadati; Thermodesulfobacteriota; Desulfobulbia; Desulfobulbales; Desulfobulbaceae.
GCACAAGCGGUGGAGUAUGUGGUUUAAUUCGAUGCAACGCGAAGAACCUUACCUGGUCUUGACAUCCCGGAGACCCUUAGGAAACUAGGGGGUGCUUCCAUCUGGAAGAAUCUGGAGACAGGUGCUGCAUGGCUGUUGUCAGCUCGUGUCGUGAGAUGUUGGGUUAAGUCCCGCAACGAGCGCAACCCUUGCCUUUAGUUGCCAGCAGUUCGGCUGGGCACUCUAAAGGGACUGCCGGUGUUAAACCGGAGGAAGGUGGGGAUGACGUCAAGUCCUCAUGGCCUUUAUGACCAGGGCUACACACGUACUACAAUGGCCGAUACAAAGGGCAGCGACACUGCGAGGUGAAGCCAAUCCCGUAAAAUCGGUCUCAGUCCGGAUUGGAGUCUGCAACUCGACUCCAUGAAGUUGGAAUCGCUAGUAAUCGUGGAUCAGCAUGCCACGGUGAAUACGUUCCCGGGCCUU